Molecule: non-coding RNA, 902 nt
Organism: Paramuricea clavata
Lineage: Eukaryota; Metazoa; Cnidaria; Anthozoa; Malacalcyonacea; Plexauridae
Source: the annotation of a GenBank genome assembly
CUGCACCGGGACACAGUGACGCAGGUUUGAUUCCUGCCAGUGGACUAUCGUAAGAUUCAUAACUACUCUUGGUUAGGUUUAAUAAAUGCAUAAUCUGUUUUUAUAUUGUGUUCUAAUCUUUAUUCUAGUUCUUUUUACGUUUUCUCUUUGUUUUGCUUUUUUUGUUUUCCUUUGCUGUUGCUGCAGCUGGCACACUUUUCCGACCAUCACCAUAGAAUUCUUGUGACUUGUACUGAAUCCCCUCUUUAUGCACAAAUGCAUCAGCUUCGUUUGCCCUUUGCCUUUUAUAUUUCUUUCUUCGUUCCUUAACAGCUGAUUUCUCUUUGUACUCUGCUGUGUCUAUUCUUUUCUUAUCCACUUUCUUCCAUUCAUUCACCAUUUUCUCAUCAACAUCCAACCCUAUCUUUGGCAGCAAUUGCGAGUAUGUAAUUUCCAUUCCACUGUUGAACAACAAACAGCCAAGACUAACAGCUAAGCUUGUUUCGCGGGGAGAUGUGUACUGCUCUUUAGGGGCAAGCCCCCAAAUAACAUGAUGUAAAGACUCAUUUGGGUUUUGAGUUGCACAUCUUUCACAACCAGCAAGAAAGUUGGCAUCACCCAAACGAUCGAAAACUGGUUUGAUCACUUCGAUAAUGGCAGGGGGGGAACGGACUCUUUACAGGUUUGUGGAAUGUUGUAUUAUUGGCGACAUCCCUUUGGUAUGAGCACCACGAAUCCUUCCCAACUGGACAGAAGGUAUGCUGGGGGUUCUCCUCGGUACUGGCAUAAUGAUACAUUAUAGCUUUGGUAGCCUUAGCCGUUGCCUUUGAAUCGCCUUUAUUUUGGCGAAUACAUAGGCUGUAAAAACUUUGGAUAGCAUCGAUCCGGGCUAUGGUCAAUCUACCAGCACCACUCAAACCCUU